Molecule: ribosomal RNA, 103 nt
Filed under: Erinaceus europaeus (western European hedgehog)
Lineage: Eukaryota; Metazoa; Chordata; Mammalia; Eulipotyphla; Erinaceidae
Source: RNAcentral
AUCUACAGCCAUACCACCCUGAAUAUGCCCGAUCUCAUCUGACCUUAGGAGGUAAGCAGAGUCAGGCAUGGAUAAUAUGUGGAUGAGAGAAGCACUAUAUAUU